CACUGUACGUAACAUUUAAGUAUGAGUUAUCAUUUUGCGUUUUAAAGGUGGACGGUUCAAAGGUUUUUGACGUAGUUGAUUCGUCUAUUAUUUCAUAUAAAUUUUCAUUUUCCUCUUCAGUUAGUCGUGUUUGCCUAUUAUUUAUUCUAUCAUCUGAUGUCAUUUCAUUAUGUUGAAAUUGAGGUGUUAGUGUUCUUGUUUGUCUUCUCCUUAAACUAUACGCUUAUCCGCCAUUAAAUAUAAGACCUAUAGAUGAAAUGAUAACAAAAAGUAUGAUGACCAGUAACGUAAUUG
Molecule: long non-coding RNA, 294 nt
Filed under: Mytilus galloprovincialis (Mediterranean mussel)
Lineage: Eukaryota; Metazoa; Mollusca; Bivalvia; Mytilida; Mytilidae
Source: RNAcentral